Pleomassaria siparia CBS 279.74 is the source of this 96-nucleotide non-coding RNA. Lineage: Eukaryota; Fungi; Ascomycota; Dothideomycetes; Pleosporales; Pleomassariaceae. The record is from the annotation of a GenBank genome assembly.
GGGCGCUUGGUCUAGGGGUAUGAUUUUCGCUUCGCAUCUUCUUCGGAUCACUUGCGUACUUGUGAAAGGUCGUGGGUUCAAUUCCCACAGCGUCCA